AUAAAUCGCUAGGGGCGCUAUUUAGCUGAGAUAAUCGAGAGAUUGGUCCCUUUGAACCUGAUUUGGUUAGCACCAACGUAGGGAAGUGAGUGGAUAUAGUU
Regulatory RNA element from Listeria grayi DSM 20601, 101 nucleotides. It matches the Rfam family "TPP riboswitch aptamer (THI element)". Rfam says of the family: Vitamin B(1) in its active form thiamin pyrophosphate (TPP) is an essential coenzyme that is synthesised by coupling of pyrimidine and thiazole moieties in bacteria. The previously detected thiamin-regulatory element, thi box was extended, resulting in a new, highly conserved RNA secondary structure, the THI element, which is widely distributed in eubacteria and also occurs in some archaea. Analysis of operon structures identified a large number of new candidate thiamin-regulated genes, mostly transporters, in various prokaryotic organisms. The record is from Rfam. NCBI's taxonomy places the organism in Bacteria, Bacillati, Bacillota, Bacilli, Caryophanales, Listeriaceae.